GGAGCUUGCUCCACUCGAAAGAAAAAGAGUGGCGAACGGGUGAGUAACACGUGGGUAACCUGCCCAUCAGAAGGGGAUAACACUUGGAAACAGGUGCUAAUACCGUAUAACACUAUUUUCCGCAUGGAAGAAAGUUGAAAGGCGCUUUUGCGUCACUGAUGGAUGGACCCGCGGUGCAUUAGCUAGUUGGUGAGGUAACGGCUCACCAAGGCAACGAUGCAUAGCCGACCUGAGAGGGUGAUCGGCCACACUGGGACUGAGACACGGCCCAGACUCCUACGGGAGGCAGCAGUAGGGAAUCUUCGGCAAUGGACGAAAGUCUGACCGAGCAACGCCGCGUGAGUGAAGAAGGUUUUCGGAUCGUAAAACUCUGUUGUUAGAGAAGAACAAGGAUGAGAGUAGAACGUUCAUCCCUUGACGGUAUCUAACCAGAAAGCCACGGCUAACUACGUGCCAGCAGCCGCGGUAAUACGUAGGUGGCAAGCGUUGUCCGGAUUUAUUGGGCGUAAAGCGAGCGCAGGCGGUUUCUUAAGUCUGAUGUGAAAGCCCCCGGCUCAACCGGGGAGGGUCAUUGGAAACUGGGAGACUUGAGUGCAGAAGAGGAGAGUGGAAUUCCAUGUGUAGCGGUGAAAUGCGUAGAUAUAUGGAGGAACACCAGUGGCGAAGGCGGCUCUCUGGUCUGUAACUGACGCUGAGGCUCGAAAGCGUGGGGAGCGAACAGGAUUAGAUACCCUGGUAGUCCACGCCGUAAACGAUGAGUGCUAAGUGUUGGAGGGUUUCCGCCCUUCAGUGCUGCAGCAAACGCAUUAAGCACUCCGCCUGGGGAGUACGACCGCAAGGUUGAAACUCAAAGGAAUUGACGGGGGCCCGCACAAGCGGUGGAGCAUGKGGUUURAUUCGAAGSCAACGCGAAGAACCUUASCAGGKCUUG
RNAcentral lists this ribosomal RNA (931 nucleotides) under Enterococcus sp. RNAcentral describes it as "bacterial SSU rRNA". The record is from RNAcentral. Lineage: Bacteria; Bacillati; Bacillota; Bacilli; Lactobacillales; Enterococcaceae.